Molecule: long non-coding RNA, 328 nt
Filed under: Olea europaea subsp. europaea
Lineage: Eukaryota; Viridiplantae; Streptophyta; Magnoliopsida; Lamiales; Oleaceae
Source: RNAcentral
ACGACUUUGUUCAAAAUAAAUAAAAUGUACAAAUUGAGUGCAAAUUUGAAAUAAAAAUAACACAAGCAAAUUAAAGAUCCAAAUCCUAAUGGAUUUACUUAUGGGGUGUUCAUACAUAAGAAAACAAAACAAAUGUUCGAUAAUCAGUAAACAUGAAAGGUACAAAUGAAAAUGUACAAUUCAUGUAAGGAAGGCAUAAAGUUGCAAGCUAAAAAUAUCUUGAAAAUUCAUUCAACCAUAUCUACCAGUACCACCACCAUUGGCAACAUGCUGCUUAUGUCCCUCUUUAUCGUACCUAUCAUAUAUCCUCCUAUUUUCACCAUCCAAU